RNAcentral lists this ribosomal RNA (253 nucleotides) under uncultured bacterium. Its description in RNAcentral is "partial 16S ribosomal RNA". It matches the Rfam family "Bacterial small subunit ribosomal RNA", at positions 524 to 776 of the family's 1533-position model. The record is from RNAcentral.
UACGGGGGGGGCAAGCGUUGUUCGGAAUUACUGGGCGUAAAGGGCGCGUAGGCGGGAUGGCAAGUCAGUCGUGAAAUCUCUCGGCUCAACCGAGAAACGUCGGCUGAUACUGCCGUUCUUGAGGGAUGCAGAGGAGACUGGAAUUCCCGGUGUAGCGGUGAAAUGUGUAGAGAUCGGGAGGAACACCGGUGGCGAAGGCGGGUCUCUGGGCAUUUCCUGACGCUGAGGCGCGAAAGCGUGGGGAGCAAACGGG